This 468-nucleotide ribosomal RNA is filed under the name uncultured bacterium. RNAcentral's name for it is "partial 16S ribosomal RNA". It matches the Rfam family "Bacterial small subunit ribosomal RNA", at positions 28 to 507 of the family's 1533-position model. The record is from RNAcentral.
GACGAACGCUGGCGGCGUGCUUAACACAUGCAAGUCGAACGGAAAGGCCCUGCUUUUGUGGGGUGCUCGAGUGGCGAACGGGUGAGUAACACGUGAGUAACCUGCCCUUGACUUUGGGAUAACUUCAGGAAACUGGGGCUAAUACCGGAUAGGAGCUCCUGCUGCAUGGUGGGGGUUGGAAAGUUUCGGCGGUUGGGGAUGGACUCGCGCGUUAUCAGCUUGUUGGUGGGGUAGUGGCUGACCAAGGCUUUGACGGGUAGCCGGCCUGAGAGGGUGACCGGCCACAUUGGGACUGAGAUACGGCCCAGAAUCCUACGGGAGGCAGCAGUGGGGAAUAUUACACAAUGGGCGGAAGCCUGAUGCAGCAACGCCGCGUGCGGGAUGACGGCCUUCGGGUUGUAAACCGCUUUCGCCUGUGACGAAGCGUGAGUGACGGUAAUGGGUAAAGAAGCACCGGCUAACUACGUG